ACUGCUCAGUAACACGUGGCUAACCUACCCUUAGGACGGAGACAACCCCGGGAAACUGGGGCUAAUACCCGAUAGGUGAGGAGGCCUGGAAUGGUUCCUAGUCGAAAAGGCGUUGAAACCAUGCUUUUCGACGUCGCCUAAGGAUGGGGCCGCGCCCGAUCAGGUUGUUGGUGGGGUAACGGCUCACCAAGCCUAUAACCGGUACGGGCCGUGAGAGCGGGAGCCCGGAGAUGGGCACUGAGACAAGGGCCCAGGCCCUACGGGGCGCAGCAGUCGCGAAAACUCCGCAAUGCACGAAAGUGUGACGGGGCUACCCCGAGUGCCGUCCGCUGAGGAUGGCUUUUCCCCGGUAUAACAAGCCGGGGGAAUAAGGAGAGGGCAAGACUGGUGUCAGCCGCCGCGGUAAUACCAGCUCUCCGAGUGGUAGGGAUGAUUAUUGGGCUUAAAGCGUCCGUAGCCGGCUUGGCAAGUCUCCUGUUAAAUUCAGCGACCUAAUCGUUGAGCCGCGGGAGAUACUACUAGGCUAGGAGGCGGGAGAGGCCGACGGUACUUCCGGGGUAGGGGUGAAAUCCUAUAAUCCCGGGAGGACCACCAGUGGCGAAGGCUGUCGGCUAGAACGCGCUCGACGGUGAGGGACGAAAGCUGGGGGAGCGAACCGGAUUAGAUACCCGGGUAGUCCCAGCUGUAAACGAUGCGGGCUAGGUGUUGGGGUGGCUACGAGCCAUCUCAGUGCCGCAGGGAAGCCAUUAAGCCCGCCGCCUGGGAAGUACGGCCGCAAGGCUGAAACUUAAAGGAAUUGGCGGGGGAGCAC
Molecule: ribosomal RNA, 811 nt
Filed under: uncultured archaeon
Lineage: Archaea
Description: bacterial SSU rRNA
Rfam family: Archaeal small subunit ribosomal RNA
Source: RNAcentral